AGAAAUAUGUUGACAGAAGAGAGGGAGCACAACCCAGCAUCAGCUAAAGACUCUUUGCUUUUCUUGGGAGUGUGCUCUCUCUUCUUCUGUCAUCAUCACACUCC
Molecule: non-coding RNA, 104 nt
Organism: Vitis vinifera (wine grape)
Lineage: Eukaryota; Viridiplantae; Streptophyta; Magnoliopsida; Vitales; Vitaceae
Source: RefSeq, marked provisional